GCUUAACGCGAAGAACCUUACCAGGUCUUGACAUCCCGGUGACCACUAUGGAGACAUAGUUUCCCCUUCGGGGGCAACGGUGACAGGUGGUGCAUGGUUGUCGUCAGCUCGUGUCGUGAGAUGUUGGGUUAAGUCCCGCAACGAGCGCAACCCUUAUUCUUAGUUGCCAUCAUUCAGUUGGGCACUCUAAGGAGACUGCCGGUGAUAAACCGGAGGAAGGUGGGGAUGACGUCAAAUCAUCAUGCCCCUUAUGACCUGGGCUACACACGUGCUACAAUGGACGGUACAAACGGUUGCCAACCCGCGAGGGGGAGCUAAUCCGAUAAAACCGUUCUCAGUUCGGAUUGUAGGCUGCAACUCGCCUACAUGAAGCCGGAAUCGCUAGUAAUCGCGGAUCAGCAUGCCGCGGUGAAUACGUUCCCGGGUCUUGUACACACCG
Molecule: ribosomal RNA, 439 nt
Filed under: uncultured bacterium
Lineage: Bacteria
Description: bacterial SSU rRNA
Rfam family: Bacterial small subunit ribosomal RNA
Source: RNAcentral